GGGAACCAAACGGGCAUCAUUUCCAAAUUAGAGAUCCCGCCUUUGGGAAAAAUCAAUGAAGACCUUUAACUAGUCCCAGCUAGAUUCUCAAAGAGUGGCUUGGCUUACCUUAGAUCUAGCUAUGCUUGCUUGCUAACCUGUGCCACCUAUUCUAUUCUUGUACCACGAUGAGAGCAAUAUAGGCCAGCUGGAAAUGGAACAAAUGCUGUUGCUG
This 214-nucleotide long non-coding RNA is filed under the name Olea europaea (common olive). Its description in RNAcentral is "long non-coding RNA (OEUR_LNC001991)". Lineage: Eukaryota; Viridiplantae; Streptophyta; Magnoliopsida; Lamiales; Oleaceae. The record is from RNAcentral.